CGUGCACAGAUUGCUCAAGAUUCAGCGGGACUUGGCAAGGACCUUUUUGCUUCCCAGAGACUCAAUGACAGGCCUGGAGAAGCUGGUGGUGAAUGGAUAAAGAACCUCUCUUGAGAACUGGGAUCCAUGGCCUAACUGGUAUGCUGUAAGAGUCAACAGCAAAGCUCCACUGGCUUCACUCUUGCACUGCUGAACACAAAUAAGGAGAUGCUGGAAGGGGAAAAGGAGUGACACCCAAGAUCAUGGACACCAUCAGCUGUCACCAGGAGGAGAGGCUGAGCCCCAGCUUUGCCCAGGACGGGAUGUCCUGGACUGUUGUGGGACUUCCUGACCUCAGCUGGUUUCCACAAAGUGUCUGCAGUCAAUGGAGUCAGUAUUUCCACAGCAGAGCAGCACCAGCUUCUCAGCAAACACAUCUGGUCCCAUGCUUGUGGCAGUGGCAAUGGUGUAUGCUUCCAGAGAAGUUGCUUUCAUCAUUUCAAAGUUUUUCAUCCAUGUAUCAUAAUAGAUGUGUCUCCAUUGCAUGGCAGAUGUUUUUCCCACUUUGUGUUGCAAUCCUAGUUAUCCAGCCCAACAGACCUGCUGGGACACAGCACAUGUCUCUCUUUCCUUUCUCAGGCAGAUGGGUUACCCUCCGAUAGAGAGGUGGUGCUUUGCACGAUCCCUUGCAACAUGCAUGCCACCAGGGUGAGACUGGAGGGUGCAGCUGCACCCUGGACCUGGGAGGUCAGACGUACCCAUGCUAUUUCCAU
Cygnus olor (mute swan) is the source of this 752-nucleotide long non-coding RNA. RefSeq lists it as uncharacterized. Lineage: Eukaryota; Metazoa; Chordata; Aves; Anseriformes; Anatidae. The transcript is spliced from 3 exons. The record is from RefSeq and is a predicted model, not a curated record.